RNAcentral lists this ribosomal RNA (301 nucleotides) under uncultured bacterium. RNAcentral's name for it is "partial 16S ribosomal RNA". It matches the Rfam family "Bacterial small subunit ribosomal RNA", at positions 509 to 809 of the family's 1533-position model. The record is from RNAcentral.
CAGCCGCCACGGUAAUACGGAGGGUGCAAGCGUUAAUCGGAAUUACUGGGCGUAAAGCGCACGCAGGCGGUCUGACAAGUCAGAUGUGAAAUCCCCGGGCUUAACCUGGGAACUGCAUUUGAAACUGUCAGGCUGGAGUCUUGUAGUGGGGGGUAGAAUUCCAGGUGUAGCGGUGAAAUGCGUAGAGAUCUGGAGGAAUACCGGUGGCGAAGGCGGCCCCCUGGACAAAGACUGACGCUCAGGUGCGAAAGCGUGGGGAGCAAACAGGAUUAGAUACCCCGGUAGUCCCUGUCUCUUAUAU